Molecule: ribosomal RNA, 725 nt
Filed under: uncultured bacterium
Lineage: Bacteria
Description: bacterial SSU rRNA
Rfam family: Bacterial small subunit ribosomal RNA
Source: RNAcentral
AACAGGAUUAGAUACCCUGGUAGUCCACGCCCUAAACGAUGUCUACUAGUUGUCGGGUUUUAAUUAACUUGGUAACGCAGCUAACGCGUGAAGUAGACCGCCUGGGGAGUACGGUCGCAAGAUUAAAACUCAAAGGAAUUAACGGGGACCCGCACAAGCGGUGGAUGAUGUGGAUCAAUUCGAUGCAACGCGAAAAACCUUACCUACCCUUGACAUGUACGGAACCUUUGAGAGAUCAGAGGGUGCUCGAAAGAGAGCCGUAACACAGGUGCUGCAUGGCUGUCGUCAGCUCGUGUCGUGAGAUGUUGGGUUAAGUCCCGCAACGAGCGCAACCCUUGUCAUUAGUUGCUACGAAAGGGCACUCUAAUGAGACUGCCGGUGACAAACCGGAGGAAGGUGGGGAUGACGUCAAGUCCUCAUGGCCCUUAUGGGUAGGGCUUCACACGUCAUACAAUGGUACAUACAGAGGGCCGCCAACCCGCGAGGGGGAGCUAAUCCCAGAAAGUGUAUCGUAGUCCGGAUCGCAGUCUGCAACUCGACUGCGUGAAGUUGGGAUCGCUAGUAAUCGCGGAUCAGCAUGUCGCGGUGAAUACGUUCCCGGGUCUUGUACACACCGCCCGUCACACCAUGGGAGCGGGUUUUACCAGAAGUAGGUAGCUUAACCGCAAGGAGGGCGCUUACCACGGUAGGAUUCGUGACUGGGGUGAAGUCGUAACAAGGUAACC